AUCGCUUCUCGGCCUUUUGGCUAAGAUCAAGUGUAGAAAUCUCUCCAACACAAGCUAGUUGGUAUACAUAUUUUAGGUAUAUCCAUACAACACUCUUGCUGGCUACAAUAUCGCUUGGUUUCUUUAUAUUCUGCCCACACUUUCUAAAAUAUUCAUUUAUGAAACUUUG
This 169-nucleotide small nuclear RNA is filed under the name Nomascus leucogenys (northern white-cheeked gibbon). RNAcentral describes it as "U2 spliceosomal RNA". It matches the Rfam family "U2 spliceosomal RNA". Rfam says of the family: U2 is a small nuclear RNA (snRNA) component of the spliceosome (involved in pre-mRNA splicing). Complementary binding between U2 snRNA (in an area lying towards the 5' end but 3' to hairpin I) and the branchpoint sequence (BPS) of the intron results the bulging out of an unpaired adenosine, on the BPS, which initiates a nucleophilic attack at the intronic 5' splice site, thus starting the first of two transesterification reactions that mediate splicing. Lineage: Eukaryota; Metazoa; Chordata; Mammalia; Primates; Hylobatidae. The record is from Rfam by way of RNAcentral.